This 23-nucleotide microRNA is filed under the name Cervus elaphus (red deer). RNAcentral's name for it is "PC-3p-27643". The record is from RNAcentral. Lineage: Eukaryota; Metazoa; Chordata; Mammalia; Artiodactyla; Cervidae.
AAAACCCGAACAAACUUCUUGAU